This 526-nucleotide ribosomal RNA is filed under the name uncultured bacterium. Its description in RNAcentral is "bacterial SSU rRNA". It matches the Rfam family "Bacterial small subunit ribosomal RNA", at positions 984 to 1509 of the family's 1533-position model. The record is from RNAcentral.
ACAUCCAGCGAACUUGGCAGAGAUGCCUUGGUGCCUUCGGGAACGCUGAGACAGGUGCUGCAUGGCUGUCGUCAGCUCGUGUUGUGAAAUGUUGGGUUAAGUCCCGCAACGAGCGCAACCCUUAUCCUUUGUUGCCAGCGAUUCGGUCGGGAACUCAAAGGAGACUGCCGGUGAUAAACCGGAGGAAGGUGGGGAUGACGUCAAGUCAUCAUGGCCCUUACGAGUAGGGCUACACACGUGCUACAAUGGCGCAUACAAAGAGAAGCGACCUCGCGAGAGCAAGCGGGACCUCAUAAAGUGCGUCGUAGUCCGGAUCGGAGUCUGCAACUCGACUCCGUGAAGUCGGAAUCGCUAGUAAUCGUGGAUCAGAAUGCCACGGUGAAUACGUUCCCGGGCCUUGUACACACCGCCCGUCACACCAUGGGAGUGGGUUGCAAAAGAAGUAGGUAGCUUAACCCUCGGGAGGGCGCUUACCACUUUGUGAUUCAUGACUGGGGUGAAGUCGUAACAAGGUAAGCGUAGUGCU